AUUGAACGCUGGCGGCAUGCCUUACACAUGCAAGUCGAACGGCAGCGCGGACUUCGGUCUGGCGGCGAGUGGCGAACGGGUGAGUAAUACAUCGGAACGUACCCUGUUGUGGGGGAUAACUAGUCGAAAGAUUAGCUAAUACCGCAUACGACCUGAGGGUGAAAGUGGGGGACCGCAAGGCCUCACGCAGCAGGAGCGGCCGAUGUCUGAUUAGCUAGUUGGUGGGGUAAAGGGCCACCAAGGCGACGAUCAGUAGCUGGUCUGAGAGGACGAUCAGCCACACUGGGACUGAGACACGGCCCAGACUCCUACGGGAGGAAGCAGUGGGGAAUUUUGGACAAUGGGGGCAACCCUGUUCCAGCAAUGCCGCGUGUGUGAAGAAGGCCUUCGGGUUGUAAAGCACUUUUGUCCGGAAAGAAAUCGCGCUGGUUAAUACCUGGCGUGGAUGACGGUACCGGAAGAAUAAGCACCGGCUAACUACGUGCCAGCCGCCGCCGUAA
RNAcentral lists this ribosomal RNA (500 nucleotides) under uncultured bacterium. RNAcentral's name for it is "partial 16S ribosomal RNA". It matches the Rfam family "Bacterial small subunit ribosomal RNA", at positions 30 to 523 of the family's 1533-position model. The record is from RNAcentral.